CGACGUCGCGAAUCCGGCCGCAUUCGCUAGGUCCGGAAAUAUUCCUCGCGGAUUGGAGCUCGAGGCAGUGGCGAAUAUGGCCGUCCGGGUGGAGCUCGCAGAUGGGGCGAAGCUCCAACGCUCUUCCCGCAAAGGUCGGGGCUGCGAUCUCUCAUUUCUUCUCUUCAAGCUUCUCAUAGCUUUUUCGUAUGUUUUUUUUUCCUUUCUUUGUUUGCUUUAGCUUCCGCCAGGCAUUGAGAUGGCUAUCGAUGCCACAGGAGCUCCACUUUUUGGAGAUUGUUGUUUUUCUGG
Molecule: long non-coding RNA, 291 nt
Filed under: Selaginella moellendorffii
Lineage: Eukaryota; Viridiplantae; Streptophyta; Lycopodiopsida; Selaginellales; Selaginellaceae
Description: long non-coding RNA (SMOE_LNC001506)
Source: RNAcentral